GACGAACGCUGGCGGCGUGCUUAACACAUGCAAGUCGAACGAUGAAGCCGGAGCUUGCUCUGGUGAAUUAGUGGCGAACGGGUGAGUAACACGUGAGUAACCUGCCCUUGACUCUGGGAUAACUGCGGGAAACUGUAGCUAAUACCGGAUACGACCCUCGGAGGCAUCUCCUGGGGGUGGAAAGAAUUUCGGUCAAGGAUGGACUCGCGGCCUAUCAGCUAGUUGGUGAGGUAAAGGCUAACCAAGGCGACGACGGGUAGCCGGCCUGAGAGUGUGACCGGCCACACUGGGACUGAGACACGGCCCAGACUCCUACGGGAGGCAGCAGUGGGGAAUAUUGCACAAUGGGCGCAAGCCUGAUGCAGCAACGCCGCGUGAGGGAUGACGGCCUUCGGGUUGUAAACCUCUUUUAGCAGGGAAGAAGCGAAAGUGACGGUACCUGCAGAAAAAGCACCGGCUAACUACGUGCCAGCCGCCGCGGUAA
Molecule: ribosomal RNA, 484 nt
Filed under: uncultured bacterium
Lineage: Bacteria
Description: partial 16S ribosomal RNA
Rfam family: Bacterial small subunit ribosomal RNA
Source: RNAcentral